Molecule: long non-coding RNA, 450 nt
Organism: Acyrthosiphon pisum (pea aphid)
Lineage: Eukaryota; Metazoa; Arthropoda; Insecta; Hemiptera; Aphididae
Exons: 2
Source: RefSeq, a predicted model, not a curated record
AUGAAAUACGCAAUACUUACUAAACACUAAUAAGUGUAAACAGACCCUCGUUUUUAUUAUUUAAUAAUUUUAUAUUUUACAUUUUUACAAUUUUAAAUGUUUAAAUUGUAACAAUAGACUUACAAUUAUUAAUAUAGUAUUAGUUUUUGUAAAUAUUAAUGUCUUGUUUACCACGUCAUGUUGUACUUUUAUUUAAUAAUUCAACCAAACAUAACUUAUAAGUACCUAAAUUGUUAAGCGUCACAAUAUGUGAAUUGGAUACUUAGCGAGUGCGUGUUCGCGAAUACUGUAAUACAAUUUAUUGUUUAAUGAUUUCUACAUAAUAUACAAUUUUCGUUUAAUGUAUACCUAACUUAUGGAUCACUAAACCUACUGGAUAUUAUUUAUAUUUUGAUAAUGUAUUGGCUCAUAUCACAAUCAAGUGGUACUGUUUUUGCAUAACACUACACA